This 497-nucleotide ribosomal RNA is filed under the name uncultured bacterium. RNAcentral's name for it is "partial 16S ribosomal RNA". It matches the Rfam family "Bacterial small subunit ribosomal RNA", at positions 28 to 507 of the family's 1533-position model. The record is from RNAcentral.
GAUGAACGCUGGCGGCGUGCCUAAUACAUGCAAGUCGAGCGGACGGACGAGGAUCUUGCUUUUCUGAUGUUAGCGGCGGACGGGUGAGGAACACGUGGCUAACCUACCUAUGAGACUGGGAUAACUUCGGGAAACCGGAGCUAGUACCGGAUAAUAUUUUGAACGGCAUGGUUCAAAAGUGAAAGACGGUCUUGCUGUCACUUAUAGAUGGAUCCGCGCUGCAUUAGCUAGUUGGUAAGGUAACGGCCUACCAAGGCAACGAUGCAUAGCCGACCUGAGAGGGUGAUCAGCCACACUGGAACUGAGACACGGUCCAGACUCCUACGGGAGGCAGCAGUAGGGAAUCUUCCGCAAUGGGCGAAAGCCUGACGGAGCAGCGCCGCGUGAGUGAUGAAGGUCUUCGGAUCGUAAAACUCUGUUAGCAGGGAAGAACAUAUGUGUAAGUAACUGUGCACAUUUUGACGGUACCUAAACAGAAAGCCACGGCUAACUACGUG